UGUAGCUCAGUGGUAGAGUACUAGCCUAGCAUGUGGAAGACCCUGGGUUCAAUUCCCAGCA
RNAcentral lists this transfer RNA (61 nucleotides) under Urocitellus parryii (Arctic ground squirrel). RNAcentral's name for it is "Spermophilus parryii (Arctic ground squirrel) tRNA". It matches the Rfam family "tRNA", at positions 6 to 65 of the family's 71-position model. Rfam says of the family: Transfer RNA (tRNA) molecules are approximately 80 nucleotides in length. Their secondary structure includes four short double-helical elements and three loops (D, anti-codon, and T loops). Further hydrogen bonds mediate the characteristic L-shaped molecular structure. tRNAs have two regions of fundamental functional importance: the anti-codon, which is responsible for specific mRNA codon recognition, and the 3' end, to which the tRNAs corresponding amino acid is attached (by aminoacyl-tRNA synthetases). tRNAs cope with the degeneracy of the genetic code in two manners: having more than one tRNA (with a specific anti-codon) for a particular amino acid; and 'wobble' base-pairing, i.e. permitting non-standard base-pairing at the 3rd anti-codon position. RNAcentral also lists the same sequence under 1 other name. The record is from Rfam by way of RNAcentral. Lineage: Eukaryota; Metazoa; Chordata; Mammalia; Rodentia; Sciuridae.